GGUGGUCUAAUACUUCAUAAUAUCCAUCUCGUAUGGAUUAAAGCUUUAUGCGCUUUGGAGGGGCCUGCGUAACAUUAGCUUGUUGGUGAGGUAAAAGCUCACCAAGGCUUCGAUGUUUAACUGGUUUUGAGAGGAUGACCAGUCACACUGGGACUGAGAUACGGCCCAGACUCCUACGGGAGGCAGCAGUAAGGAAUCUUCCACAAUGGGGGCAACCCUGAUGGAGCAAUACCGCGUGCAGGAUGAAGCGUUUCGGCGUGUAAACUGCUUUUAUCACCGAAGAUUAUGACUGUAGGUGAAGAAUAAGGACCGGCUAACUACGUG
This 324-nucleotide ribosomal RNA is filed under the name uncultured bacterium. RNAcentral describes it as "bacterial SSU rRNA". It matches the Rfam family "Bacterial small subunit ribosomal RNA", at positions 157 to 507 of the family's 1533-position model. The record is from RNAcentral.